This is a non-coding RNA of Vicugna pacos (alpaca), 481 nucleotides long. The record is from RefSeq and is a predicted model, not a curated record. Lineage: Eukaryota; Metazoa; Chordata; Mammalia; Artiodactyla; Camelidae.
GAGGCACCGGCCCGGUGAGAGCCCCUGGGACUGAGGAGCGGGUCUGGGGCUCACGGGCUGGAGGAGUGUGGGGCUUGGAGGCUGAAGAGCCGACGUGGUGCAACGAGGCCUCAGGCCUCAGGCCUCAGCCUGAUGGGUCAGCUCCAGUGGGGGUGGUUCUGACAGGUUCUGUCAGUUACCCUCAGGUUCCCUCAGCUCCCCAGAGAUCAGGCGGUUGCAUCAGCUGAAGACAGUUCUACACGUUCCCUCCUCCCUCCCACCCUCUGCAGGUCCCUGUUGAGUCGGGACCCGGUUCCCCCCACUCCCAGAUCCCCGCACCAGGCACCCCUAUCUCCCCCACCUCCUCACCUUUCCCUCCUUGUUCGCCUGUCCCGCCCCCCUCCCCGGCCCCGCACCGCGCCGUGCGCCCACCUGUGGGCCAGAGCAGCUAGGAUCCCAGCGAGUCCUGCUCCGGCCGCCCAGCUCGCCGGAGGCCGGCAGC